Felis catus (domestic cat) is the source of this 85-nucleotide non-coding RNA. The record is from Rfam. Lineage: Eukaryota; Metazoa; Chordata; Mammalia; Carnivora; Felidae.
GCCUGGGUGGCUCAGUUGGUUAAGCGUCCGACUUCGGCUCAGGUCAUGAUCUCGCGGUUCGUGGGUUCGAGGCCCGCAUCAGGCU